AGUGAACGCUGGCGGUAGGCCUAACACAUGCAAGUCGAACGGCAGCACAGUAAGAGCUUGCUCUUACGGGUGGCGAGUGGCGGACGGGUGAGGAAUACAUCGGAAUCUACUUUUUCGUGGGGGAUAACGUAGGGAAACUUACGCUAAUACCGCAUACGACCUACGGGUGAAAGCAGGGGAUCUUCGGACCUUGCGCGAUUGAAUGAGCCGAUGUCGGAUUAGCUAGUUGGCGGGGUAAAGGCCCACCAAGGCGACGAUCCGUAGCUGGUCUGAGAGGAUGAUCAGCCACACUGGAACUGAGACACGGUCCAGACUCCUACGGGAGGCAGCAGUGGGGAAUAUUGGACAAUGGCCGCAAGCCUGAUCCAGCCAUACCGCGUGGGUGAAGAAGGCCUUCGGGUUGUAAAGCCCUUUUGUUGGGAAAGAAAAGCAGCAGGUUAAUACCCCGCUGUUCUGACGGUACCCAAAGAAUAGGCACCGGCUAACUUCGUG
This 492-nucleotide ribosomal RNA is filed under the name uncultured bacterium. RNAcentral's name for it is "partial 16S ribosomal RNA". It matches the Rfam family "Bacterial small subunit ribosomal RNA", at positions 29 to 507 of the family's 1533-position model. The record is from RNAcentral.